Molecule: transfer RNA, 72 nt
Filed under: Gyps fulvus (Eurasian griffon)
Lineage: Eukaryota; Metazoa; Chordata; Aves; Accipitriformes; Accipitridae
Description: tRNA-Val
Source: RNAcentral
CAGGGCGUAGCUAUAAUACAAAGCACUCAGCUUACACCUGAAAGAUACCUACUACUUACUGGGUCGUCCUGA